UAGGGUGUAGUACAGAGGUAGUACGUAGGAUUUUGGAUCCUAAGAUGUAGGUUCGACUCCUAUCUCUCUAG
This 71-nucleotide transfer RNA is filed under the name Allocricetulus eversmanni (Eversmann's hamster). Its description in RNAcentral is "tRNA-Gln". It matches the Rfam family "tRNA". Rfam says of the family: Transfer RNA (tRNA) molecules are approximately 80 nucleotides in length. Their secondary structure includes four short double-helical elements and three loops (D, anti-codon, and T loops). Further hydrogen bonds mediate the characteristic L-shaped molecular structure. tRNAs have two regions of fundamental functional importance: the anti-codon, which is responsible for specific mRNA codon recognition, and the 3' end, to which the tRNAs corresponding amino acid is attached (by aminoacyl-tRNA synthetases). tRNAs cope with the degeneracy of the genetic code in two manners: having more than one tRNA (with a specific anti-codon) for a particular amino acid; and 'wobble' base-pairing, i.e. permitting non-standard base-pairing at the 3rd anti-codon position. Lineage: Eukaryota; Metazoa; Chordata; Mammalia; Rodentia; Cricetidae. The record is from RNAcentral.